Pangasianodon gigas (Mekong giant catfish) is the source of this 74-nucleotide non-coding RNA. Lineage: Eukaryota; Metazoa; Chordata; Actinopteri; Siluriformes; Pangasiidae. The record is from the annotation of a GenBank genome assembly.
CUGGUGUCUCACAUAUGUCCAGAACAUUAAAGGUGAGUUCAUGAUUUUAACUGCAGUUAUCUAUUGGAAGUCAG